This 253-nucleotide ribosomal RNA is filed under the name uncultured bacterium. Its description in RNAcentral is "partial 16S ribosomal RNA". It matches the Rfam family "Bacterial small subunit ribosomal RNA", at positions 334 to 604 of the family's 1533-position model. The record is from RNAcentral.
AGUUCCUACGGGACGCAGCAGUGGGGAAUAUUGCACAAUGGGGGAAACCCUGAUGCAGCGACGCCGCGUGAGCGAAGAAGUACCUCGGUAUGUAAAUCUCUAUCAGCAGGGAAGAAGAUGACGGUACCUGACCAAGAAGCUCCGGCUAAAUACGUGCCAGCAGCCGCGGAAAUACGGAUGGAGCAAGCGUUAUCCGGAGUUAGUGGGGGGAAAGGGAGCGCAGGCGGCCUUGCAAGGCUGAUGGGAAAGGCCG